This is a non-coding RNA of Hyaena hyaena (striped hyena), 462 nucleotides long. Lineage: Eukaryota; Metazoa; Chordata; Mammalia; Carnivora; Hyaenidae. The record is from the annotation of a RefSeq genome assembly.
AUGGCUAAAAAGGAAAAAAGUAAAAUCGAAUUCUCCUUGGAAACGUCACAUCAAGACACAAGGACACUGGAGAUCCUAAGAACGAGCUCUUCUCCAGGAUCCGUGCUUGUGUUAUCGUUGAUGUUUGGAGGAAGCAAGGGAGACUCAGUGAACCAGACGGAAGGCCAAAUGAUCCUCUCAGAGAGGGCUUCUCUGAUUGUGAACUGCUUUUGUGAACCCACAGAGUACUCUGCCCUUUUCCAGUAUGUCCAGUAUCCCGGACAAGGGCCACAGCUCCUCCUGAAGGCUAUGAAAGCCAACGAGAAGGGAAGCAGCAAAGGUUUUGAAGCCACCUACCGCAAAGAGCCAAACUCUUUCCACUUGAAGAAGUCCUCAGUGCAAGCGUCAGAUUCGGCCAUGUACUACUGUGCCCUGAGUGACACAAUGACAGGGACUGCAGGGGGAGCUGAGCACAAACUCUGA